Pseudophryne corroboree (corroboree frog) is the source of this 845-nucleotide long non-coding RNA. RefSeq lists it as uncharacterized. Lineage: Eukaryota; Metazoa; Chordata; Amphibia; Anura; Myobatrachidae. The record is from RefSeq and is a predicted model, not a curated record. The transcript has 2 exons.
GUUUUAUGGCUUUCUCUCAUUUCUAUAUGAUGUAAUGACUCCUUUUGAAAUGGUAGAAGAAGAAGAAACCGAUCCCACAGAUGUUGAUGUAAAGCCACAAGAUACGGGAUCUCCCAUUUCGUAGUGGACAGCCUGGAGCAACGGAGCCAUGAGCUACCCAAAUAGCUGAAAGUGUUAUUUGGCAGAUCUUGCACACAGUAGAAUGAGUGCUUGUAUGGCUUGGUCUAAGUUGCCAGUGAAGACAUUUGCAUUCCAGGUCUUGUGUGUUUUUUUUGCAUCAAUUUAUUUUGUGUUCCCUAAGCUUGGCACAAUUACCCUUCCAUGGUUUAGGAGACCAAUUACAAUGGCAUUAUAUAAUUUGGCACUUGCAGAUGCCACAUUCUUCCAGCCAUUCUGCAAAUUACCAUGUUUUCCAUAGUCCUAAAAACCAAACUUGAGUUGUUUUAACCAAUACUCGCCCAUCUUCAUCACUUUCAUUCGAAUGGACCGUUAUGCCUGGGAAGUACAGUGCAUAACCUUAGUGCUUGCUGUGCUUUCUUUGUUCCUAAUAGUCUGUCUAAUUGGAACAAAGAUGUAAGCUUGCCCUAUUCUUGGCUGUAACAAAUAAUGGCAUGGCAAUCAAAGCCGUUUGAUUAGCUGCUAAAUUGGACAUGUCUUAACACUGCUUUGAAAGUGCGGGUUGGGUUUUAUCUAAACUCUGUAUUAAAACCUGUUAUUCUUUCAUCUGUUCUGUGCUCUACGUACAACUAAUAACAUUUUAUUUAUGAGUGAGUUUGUUUUUUAUCUGUUUGUAAUUAAACACAAAAACAGACCUUUUUUUGAUGCAAAUAAAAUAUUUCCAAAUA